AUAAACAAAUUCCACUGGUGGGGGUUGUUAGUGGGUGGUGACUCUUUAUAACUCACGUAUAAUGAUAUCAUCUGAUGAGGUCACUUUUCAGCCGACGGUGAUGUCAUUGAAUCGUCUCAUCCAACGGUUGAAAGCUAUCGGCUUUCAGUAUUAAAAAGACCUCCCAACUAGGAGUAUUAUAUUAACGAAACCAAGAAUAAAGUAGUGAAACAACAAAGCAAGAGCCUCGUACCCAUAUUUAUUUCUCCUUCCGCGUUACAAUAAUAUAACAGAAAAUUUCUUGCCAUGGAUGGCAGCCAGAGAAAACGAAAGAAAUCAAGGUCCGGCAACGUUGACGGUAAUACUAGACGGCAUAAGAAAGAGGCCACGACAACGAUAACAACAACGACAACAACAACAACAACUCCACCGCCCACGGAGGAGGAAGUAGACGAGUUCUUUACCAUAUUGAACCGCAUGCGCGUCACGGCGAAGUAUUUGAAGAGUAGCAAAAGUGCUAACGCUAACAACGACGGUGAUGUUAUUUUUCCAGCAACAGAAUUACCGGUUCUACAUGAAGCAAAGGUUGAGGUUAAAGUAGGCGAUGCUAAUUUGGUCUUGGACUUGAAUUCUCUCCCGGACGGCGAGAUUAAUAGUGAUUAACUCACAUCUGUUGAUGCUAAUUAUUCAUGUAUGCCACUCCUUUGUUAUAUUUGUUUAUGACAAUUCUACCUUUAUUAUGUUUUAGACUUAUGCUUGGUGAAAAUCGAACUGCAAGGAUCUAAUGGAAAAAGUAUAUACUCCUCUUCUCUGUCAAAAAAAAAAAGAGUAUAUACUCCUUUUCAAUCUUUAAACUGAUUAAUUCAACAUCUAUUUUUAUAAUAAUACUUUUAAUAAUUUCCUCUUUGUUGUUUUGAAAUUAUAUAUCUUUAAAUUAAUAUAUUAUUUAUACAUUGCAUAAUCUCUUACAAAUGAUAUAUUAACAUAUCAUAUAUCGCUCAAAUGUUAUCAUUAAUUUUCUAAUACCCUAUCUGUUUUAAAAUAUAGGUCGUCGUUUGAUUUUUUCGUAUAAAAAUUUAUCUGUUGUAGUCGUAUAACUAAAAUAAUUAUUCUUAAAAUUUUUAUUAUUUAAAUUAUAAUAUUAAUCAUAUAUUCUUAUUCAUAGAUAUUUAAUAGAUAAUAGUUAUACGGUUCAAAAUUUUAAAAAUAUAUAUCAGAAAAUCAAGGACUUACUCCCUCCGUCCCUCUCCUCUCAGUAGUUUAUGUAUACUGUUUGCACGCAUUUCGAGGCUCAUAUAAAGUAUAGUUUUAUAAUUUUUUUUUAAAUUUAUUUUUUUUGAAUAAAAAUUUAAACAUCAAAUUUUUAUUCAGAAGAAAAAAAAUUAAAAAUAUAUUAUAAAAAUAUAUUUUAAAUGAGCAUAGAAAUCAUGCCAAAAAGUAAUACAAUGAGAGGUAUGGACUAUGGAGGGAGGAAGUAUAUUUUAAACUAACAGAAUUAUUAGCGUCUGGCAGAACAUAAAAAGGAGAAAAAGUGGGGUGACAAGCACAUGAAAUAUUGUGCUCCUCACAUGUAAAUUUGUCUUGAAAAGGUCAAGUGCACAAUUCAAAAUAUCAUGAUUGAAUGAUGAAUCUGCUAACAACCAGCAUGAAUUUAGACUGUGCAAAUGUUCUUGUCGGUAGGGCAGGACUCGCUGAAGAAAGGACACAACUAUACAAGGCCUGCGCUAAGAUUUUAAUGCUCCAAGCUGGAAAAAGAAAGCGCCACAUAAUGAGGCUGUUCAUCG
Molecule: long non-coding RNA, 1763 nt
Filed under: Daucus carota (carrot)
Lineage: Eukaryota; Viridiplantae; Streptophyta; Magnoliopsida; Apiales; Apiaceae
Description: long non-coding RNA (DCAR_LNC002867)
Source: RNAcentral